This 549-nucleotide ribosomal RNA is filed under the name Triticum aestivum (bread wheat). RNAcentral's name for it is "partial small subunit ribosomal RNA". Lineage: Eukaryota; Viridiplantae; Streptophyta; Magnoliopsida; Poales; Poaceae. The record is from RNAcentral.
AUGCCGCCGCCGCCCUCCGCCCUCACCGCCUCCGCCGCCGCGUCCUCCUUCCUACGCUCGCUACCUCCUCCUAACCUCUCCGCCCACGCCACCCUCCGGCCUUUCCCAUCCCUCAGACGCUCAGCAGGCCACUCCCGAGUGGUCGCGCGAGCCUCUGCGUCAGGCGCAGCCGCCGAGGCUGAGACGGUGUUCUUCGACGGCGGCGCGCACUACGGCGACCUUGCGGCGAACCUCGUCCUCGGGCUGACCCUGCUGUGGCUGCCGCUGACCCUCGCUUCCGUGUCCCGUGCGCUCCUCCUCCGGUACCGCUUCACCUCCCGCCGCGUGACCGUCAUCUCCGGGCUCUCCGGCGACGACCGCACGGACUUCCCCUACUCGUCGGUCAGGGAGGUGGUGGUCGUGCCGCGGUUCAUCGGCGAGUGGGGCGACAUCGUCAUCACGCUCAAGGACGGCACCAAGGUCGACCUCAGGAGCGUGCCCAGGUUCCGCGAGGUCGCCGACUACUGCCGCAAAAUGGCCGCCGCCGAGGGCGGGCUCGGGACCCGGUGA